AGAGGUUUUGAUCCUGGCUCAGGAUGAACGCUGGCGGCGUGCCUAACACAUGCAAGUCGAACGGACUUACACAGAAGCAGGAGAUGCUUGCAUUGACUAACGGAAGUGUAAGUUAGUGGCGGACGGGUGAGUAACGCGUGGGCAACCUGCCCCAUACCGGGGGAUAACACCUGGAAACAGGUGCUAAAACCGCAUAAGCGCACAGCUUCGCAUGAAGGUGUGUGAAAAACUCCGGUGGUAUGGGAUGGGCCCGCGUCUGAUUAGCUGGUUGGCGGGGUAACGGCCCACCAAGGCGACGAUCAGUAGCCGGCCUGAGAGGGUGGACGGCCACAUUGGGACUGAGACACGGCCCAAACUCCUACGGGAGGCAGCAGUGGGGGAUAUUGGACAAUGGGGGAAACCCUGAUCCAGCGACGCCGCGUGAGUGAAGAAGUAUUUCGGUACGUAAAGCUCUAUCAGCAGGAAAGAAAAUGACGGUACCUGACUAAGAAGCCCCGGCUAACUACGUG
Molecule: ribosomal RNA, 509 nt
Filed under: uncultured Lachnospiraceae bacterium
Lineage: Bacteria; Bacillati; Bacillota; Clostridia; Lachnospirales; Lachnospiraceae
Description: bacterial SSU rRNA
Rfam family: Bacterial small subunit ribosomal RNA
Source: RNAcentral